UAUGGCGACCGGCGCACGGGUGAGUAACACGUAUCCAACCUGCCGAUGACUCGGGGAUAGCCUUUCGAAAGAAAGAUUAAUACCCGAUGGCAUAGUUCUUCCGCAUGGUAGAACUAUUAAAGAAUUUCGGUCAUCGAUGGGGAUGCGUUCCAUUAGGUUGUUGGCGGGGUAACGGCUCACCAAGCCUUCGAUGGAUAGGGGUUCUGAGAGGAAGGUCCCCCACAUUGGAACUGAGACACGGUCCAA
Molecule: ribosomal RNA, 246 nt
Filed under: uncultured bacterium
Lineage: Bacteria
Description: partial 16S ribosomal RNA
Rfam family: Bacterial small subunit ribosomal RNA
Source: RNAcentral